Molecule: long non-coding RNA, 4346 nt
Filed under: Arabidopsis lyrata
Lineage: Eukaryota; Viridiplantae; Streptophyta; Magnoliopsida; Brassicales; Brassicaceae
Description: long non-coding RNA (ALYR_LNC001636)
Source: RNAcentral
AAAUUUAUUUUCGAAUUAUUGGAAUCGUUUUGAUAUUUUUUUCAGAUCCGUUUAGAUUUGUCUGUUUUUGGACUGUUUACUUGUUAGAUUUUCGAUUUUUUCAGGAACAAUGGUGACAUCUGAAGACGAAGAGUCAUCCACCUCUAGCUUGGAGAGAAAAAUCUUGAAAUCUGUCACAGCUGCAAUGGCAACAAUGAUCGACGAGAAGCUUGGUGCUCUACACUUGAAUCAAAUCAACCCGGAACCAAAUCAACGUCAAAGGCAGCACCAAGAGGAACCAAGGCAAGAUGAGGAAGCAAGAAAUUACUAUAGUCAUGCCUCUUCUCACAAUAGUCAACGUAGGCGGCAGCGAGAAAGACCCCCGCCUAGAGAUCCUUUGGGAAAAAUAAAACUCAAGAUUCCCGCCUUUCACGGAACCAACAAUCCGGACACUUACUUGGAGUGGGAGCAGAAAAUUGAGUUAGUCUUUGUUUGUCAAGAGUGUACCGAGGCCAACAAGGUUAAAGUUGCGGCUACUGAGUUCUACGACUAUGCGCUAAGUUGGUGGGAUCAACUUGUUACCAGCCGAAGACGUGCCGGAGACUAUCCGAUUGAAACAUGGAACCAGUUGAAAACCAUCAUGCGAAAGAGAUUUGUGCCAAGUUAUUACCAUCGUGAUCUACAUCAACGGCUAAGGAAUUUGGUCCAAGGAAGCAAGACGGUCGAGGAAUAUUUUAAAGAAAUGGAAACGCUUAUGCUAAGAGCCGAUAUUCAAGAAGAUGGAGAAGCCGUUAUGUCCCGAUUUAUGGGAGGUCUCAACCGAGAAAUCCAAGAUCGUCUAGAAACUCAACACUAUGUGGAACUUGAUGAGAUGCUUCACAAAGCGGUCAUGUUCGAACAGCAAAUCAAAAGAAGAAAUUCCCGAUUAAGCUACGGCACCACCAAAACCAAAUACAGCUCGGAAAAACCAAGUUAUCAAAAGGAAGAGAAAUCCGUCUACCAAAAGGACUACAAGCCAUUCGUCAAGCCAAAACCGCUAGAUUCAGACCCAAAAGGAAAGGGUAAGGAAGUGACCACAAGGGCUAGAGAUAUUCGAUGCUUUAAGUGUCAAGGACUUGGGCACUACGCGAGCGAUUGUUCUAACAAAAGGAUCAUGGUCCUUAGAGACAAUGGUGAAGUAGAAUCCGAAGAUGAACGUUUGGAAAACGAUUCAAUGGAAGAGAGUUUGGAAGCCCCAACUAAAGGAGAGUUGCUUGUUGCGAGAAGAUCAUUGAGUGUUCUAACUAAGGCCGAAGAGCAAGCGCAAAGGGAAAACUUGUUUCACACAAGAUGUUUAGUCAAAGGUAAGGUAUGUAGCUUGAUUAUUGACGGAGGAAGCUGUACCAAUGUUGCGAGUAGAAGUAUGGUUGAGAAGCUUGGUUUAGAAGUGCUUAAACACCCGAGACCAUAUUCGCUCCAAUGGCUUAACAAAAAUGGUGAGAUGUCCGUCAACGAACAAGUCAAGGUUCCAUUGUCAAUCGGCAAGUAUCAAGACGAGAUCGUGUGUGAUAUACUACCAAUGGAUGCUAGUCACAUUCUUCUUGGACGCCCAUGGCAAUCGGAUCGACAAGUUCUCCACAAUGGCUUCACCAAUCGACACACCUUUGAACACAAUGGCCGAAAAACGACUCUUAUUCCGAUGACUCCGCACAAAAUCUAUCUAGAUCAGCUAAGUAUGGAGCAACGGGCCAUCAAACCAACCGAACCGAUCGAUACCAAGGGUAAGAACAAGGUAGGUCAUAAAAAUAGUUUACUCUUUGUUUUCAAAGAAACUCUUACUUGUUCAACUAAUCCCGAACCGGUGCUACCGAGUAAGAUCAAGUUGGUUUUGCAAGAGUUUAAGGACGUGUUUCCGGAAGAUAAUCCCAUAGGUUUACCACCCAUCCGAGGGAUCGAGCAUCAAAUCGACUUUGUUCCGGGAGCCGCUAGACAAAUCUCGAUUGUGGUAGUUUCGACUUCCACAGUUUGGCGCCAUCUGUGGGGAUACUUUAGAAUUCUCUUUCCCUAAGACGCAGAACUCAAUUACCGAAAAGGACGAUGAACGAAGACGGUCUUCAGACACCACCAGCCGGAGGAGGGAACCCUAACCCUCCGAACCCUCAGAAUCCUCAAGCCGACCCGGCAAUCUCAACGACCCUAGCCGAACUGAAGGAUAUGAUGGUUAAAUUCCAGAAGAAAGCUGACGACCAAGAGAAAGCUAACAAAACCUUGGCGCAGCGAAUCGACGAAAUCGCAACCCGUGGGCAACAAAAAACCACGCGUUUCCAGACUCGGCCGCCACGAGCCCGGAGGGAUUUGCCUGGCAUCAACCCGACAAGACUCACGUUCGCGACACCAACCGACAACACCAGAGUCGUAACCCGAGCCGACCCUGCCUGAUGAGACCAUGGCCAACACAACCGCACCACACGAACCCGAGGAGCAGCUUGUAGCCGAGGAGCAGCUUGUACCGGAGGAAGCACUAAUCGUCCCGGCGGGUCCUCUAACUCGAUCAAGAUCCAAAAGGUUCAACCAAGCAAUCAAUGGACUACUUAGGGAGCUAGACAAGAAGCAAGAAGACGUGGCCCAAAUCUCCCUUAUGAUGAUCACGGCCCAAAGUGCUCGGUAAAGGGAUAAGUGUUGCUUACGCACUCUUUUUCCCUUGUCAAGUUUUGUCCCAAUGGGUUUUCUUGACAAGGUUUUUAAUGAGGCCUAAGUAACACUUUCAAGCCUCCCUUUAUCAGCCCAAUUCAUGGUCCAAGGCCCAUCACUUUGCCUUGGCCCAUUAUCUUAUUUUUAUGUUCAAACUUUGCAUUUAAUGCCUUUGUAAUUUCCUAGAUACUUUGCAUGAGCUUGCAUGAGUGUGGACUUGUGCAUGCUCGUGCAUGUUCUCCUUCUCCUCUCUUCUCCUUCAUCCUCCUCUUCUUUAUAUUCUCUUUGUAGCUCUCAUUUGCAAACCAUCAAACAUUUUAUCAAAAAUCUCUCUUUUACUUGUUUGAUCCGAGAAGUGUGUAAUAUCUUCUCAACUUGUUUUCUUCUUAGUGUGUAAUAUCUAAGUUGUAUUCAAGCUCGUAGUCUAAGAGAUUUCCACCUCUCUUGGAAGUACAAAACGUUCCACCUUCAAUCCGCUGCAACAGUUCAUCCGUUUGUCCGUUCAUCUUCCACCUACGAUCUCGCUCUUCUUCCAUUCCGCUGCAUCCUUCAUGUUCAAAACCAACAAAGUGUGUUCUUGGGAAUAGAUCCUCAUCUAGGAGUCUAUCAUGUGGUAUCAGAGCCACUUUGUUACCAGGUUUUGAUGUUCCAACCCUAAAUUUUCUGUUUUUCUCGAUUUCACAUUUUUUUCGAGAUUUCUGAUCGCAUCUUGUUUUAAUUUUUAAAAAUAAUUGGCUCGUUGAAAAAUUGUGAAACCAAUUGCGUUCGAACCAGUAACGAGUCUAGUAUUUUUGAAAAUUUAUUUUCGAAUUAUUGGAAUCGUUUUGAUAUUUUUUUCAGAUCCGUUUAGAUUUGUCUGUUUUUGGACUGUUUACUUGUUAGAUUUUCGAUUUUUUCAGGAACAAUGGUGACAUCUGAAGACGAAGAGUCAUCCACCUCUAGCUUGGAGAGAAAAAUCUUGAAAUCUGUCACAGCUGCAAUGGCAACAAUGAUCGACGAGAAGCUUGGUGCUCUACACUUGAAUCAAAUCAACCCGGAACCAAAUCAACGUCAAAGGCAGCACCAAGAGGAACCAAGGCAAGAUGAGGAAGCAAGAAAUUACUAUAGUCAUGCCUCUUCUCACAAUAGUCAACGUAGGCGGCAGCGAGAAAGACCCCCGCCUAGAGAUCCUUUGGGAAAAAUAAAACUCAAGAUUCCCGCCUUUCACGGAACCAACAAUCCGGACACUUACUUGGAGUGGGAGCAGAAAAUUGAGUUAGUCUUUGUUUGUCAAGAGUGUACCGAGGCCAACAAGGUUAAAGUUGCGGCUACUGAGUUCUACGACUAUGCGCUAAGUUGGUGGGAUCAACUUGUUACCAGCCGAAGACGUGCCGGAGACUAUCCGAUUGAAACAUGGAACCAGUUGAAAACCAUCAUGCGAAAGAGAUUUGUGCCAAGUUAUUACCAUCGUGAUCUACAUCAACGGCUAAGGAAUUUGGUCCAAGGAAGCAAGACGGUCGAGGAAUAUUUUAAAGAAAUGGAAACGCUUAUGCUAAGAGCCGAUAUUCAAGAAGAUGGAGAAGCCGUUAUGUCCCGAUUUAUGGGAGGUCUCAACCGAGAAAUCCAAGAUCGUCUAGAAACUCAACACUAUGUGGAACUUGAUGAGAUGCUUCACAAAGCGGUCAUGUUCGAACAGCAAAUCAAAAGAAGAAAUUUCC